This 253-nucleotide ribosomal RNA is filed under the name uncultured bacterium. RNAcentral's name for it is "partial 16S ribosomal RNA". It matches the Rfam family "Bacterial small subunit ribosomal RNA", at positions 524 to 776 of the family's 1533-position model. The record is from RNAcentral.
UACGUAGGGUGCAAGCGUUGUCCGGAAUUAUUGGGCGUAAAGAGCUCGUAGGCGGUUUGUCGCGUCUGCUGUGAAAACUCGGGGCUUAACCCCGGGCCUGCAGUGGGUACGGGCAGACUAGAGUGCGGUAGGGGAGACUGGAAUUCCUGGUGUAGCGGUGAAAUGCGCAGAUAUCAGGAGGAACACCGGUGGCGAAGGCAAUCCCCUGGGCCUGCACUGACGCUCAUGCACGAAAGCGUGGGGAGCAAACAGG